GACGAACGCUGGCGGCGUGCUUAAUACAUGCGAGUCGAACGGAAAGGCCCUGCUUUUGUGGGGUGCUCGAGUGGCGAACGGGUGAGUAACACGUGAGUAACCUGCCCUUGACUUUGGUAUAACUUCAGGAAACUGGGGCUAAUACCGGAUAGGAGCUCCUGCUGCAUGGUGGGGGUUGGAAAGUUUCGGCGGUUGGGUAUGGACUCGCGGCUUAUCAGCUUGUUGGUGGGGUAGUGGCUUACCAAGGCUUUGACGGGUAGCCGGCCUGGGAGGGUGACCGGCCACAUUGGGACUGAGAUACGGCCCAGACUCCUACGGGAGGCAGCAGUGGGGAGUAUUGCACAAUGGGCGGAAGCCUGAUGCAGCAACGCCGCGUGCGGGAUGACGGCCUUCGGGUUGUAAACCGCUUUCGCCUGUGACGAAGCGUGAGUGACGGUAAUGGGUAAAGAAGCACCGGCUAACUACGUG
RNAcentral lists this ribosomal RNA (468 nucleotides) under uncultured bacterium. RNAcentral describes it as "partial 16S ribosomal RNA". It matches the Rfam family "Bacterial small subunit ribosomal RNA", at positions 28 to 507 of the family's 1533-position model. The record is from RNAcentral.